ACUCCUGCGGGAGGCAGCAGUGGGGAAUAUUGGACAAUGGGCGCAAGCCUGAUCCAGCCAUGCCGCGUGAGUGAUGAAGGCCCUAGGGUUGUAAAGCUCUUUCACCGGUGUAGAUAAUGACGGUAACCGGAGAAGAAGCCCCGGCUAACUUCGUGCCAGCAGCCGCGGUAAUACGAAGGGGGCUAGCGUUGUUCGGAUUUACUGGGCGUAAAGCGCACGUAGGCGGACUAUUAAGUCAGGGGUGAAAUCCCGGGGCUCAACCCCGGAACUGCCUUUGAUACUGGUAGUCUUGAGUUCGAGAGAGGUGGGUGGAAUUCCGAGUGUAGAGGUGAAAUUCGUAGAUAUUCGGAGGAACACCAGUGGCGAAGGCGGCUCACUGGCUCGAUACUGACGCUGAGGUGCGAAAGCGUGGGGAGCAAACAGGAUUAGAAACCCCUGUAGUCCCAU
RNAcentral lists this ribosomal RNA (447 nucleotides) under uncultured organism. RNAcentral's name for it is "partial 16S ribosomal RNA". It matches the Rfam family "Bacterial small subunit ribosomal RNA", at positions 335 to 798 of the family's 1533-position model. The record is from RNAcentral.